AGUAAAAGUCGUAACAAGGUUUCCGUAGGUGAACCUGCGGAAGGAUCAUUAACGCAUCUUCUGACGGGGAGGGCGGUCCCGGCUCCGACCGAGAGGUCGUGCAGCGGGCCCGCUCGAACCGCUCAACCCCCCUUUGCAAACCCCACUUGUGCACUUUUGUCGGCAGAGGGCGGGGAGACCCGCCCGAGCCGGAUCACAGACUCCAGUCUAACGAGAACGAUUCGCGGACAAUGCGCCGCCUAAACUUUGUAACAACUUUCAACAACGGAUCUCUUGGCUCUCGCAUCGAUGAAGAACGCAGCGAAAUGCGAUAAGUAAUGUGAAUUGCAGAAUUCAGUGAAUCAUCGAAUCUUUGAACGCACCUUGCGCUCCUUGAUAUUCCGAGGAGCAUGCCUGUUUGAGUGUCUUGAAGUCAUCAACCCCUCCCGUUUUUGCUAGCGGAGAGUAAGGUUGGACGUGGGGGUUUGUUGCGGGAGCCCGCGAGGGCCCCGCUCCCCUCAAAUGCGUCGGUUGGGCCUGUUGGGUCGAACUCGGUCGGGCGUUGUACCAUCCUCGCUCUUGCUCCGAGACGUUCCCCCUCAGUCUUAUCGCCCUCCCACGACCGCCUCUUUGAACGGUGGCGGUCAACGUGUAAAGCACUUUGAAAUCUGACCUCAAAUCAGGUAGGACUACCCGC
Molecule: ribosomal RNA, 676 nt
Filed under: uncultured fungus
Lineage: Eukaryota; Fungi
Description: eukaryotic LSU rRNA
Rfam family: 5.8S ribosomal RNA (bases 254-407)
Source: RNAcentral